AGGACGAACGCUGGCGGCGCGCCUAACACAUGCAAGUCGAGCGAUAACCAGGGCUUGCCCUGGGGACAGCGGCGAACGGGUGCGUAACACGUGAGCAACCUGCCCCAAAGACCGGGACAACCCGAGGAAACUCGGACUAAUACCGGAUGCCCUCACCGGGUCGCAUGGUCUGGUGAGGAAAUGGAUUCCGCUUUGGGAUGGGCUCGCGGUCUAUCAGCUUGUUGGUGGGGUAACGGCCUACCAAGGCGACGACGGAUAGCUGGUCUGAGAGGACGAUCAGCCACACUGGGACUGAGACACGGCCCAGACUCCUACGGGAGGCAGCAGUGGGGAAUCUUGCGCAAUGGGGGAAACCCUGACGCAGCGACGCCGCGUGCGGGAUGAAGGCCUUCGGGUUGUAAACCGCUUUCAGCAGGGACGAAAUUGACGGUACCUGCAGAAGAAGGCCGGCAACUACGUGCCAGCAGCCGC
Molecule: ribosomal RNA, 471 nt
Filed under: uncultured bacterium
Lineage: Bacteria
Description: SSU rRNA
Rfam family: Bacterial small subunit ribosomal RNA
Source: RNAcentral